CGGGUUGUAAAGCACUUUCAGUCGUGAGGAAGGUAGUGUAGUUAAUAGCUGCAUUAUUUGACGUUAGCGACAGAAGAAGCACCGGCUAACUCCGUGCCAGCAGCCGCGGUAAUACGGAGGGUGCGAGCGUUAAUCGGAAUUACUGGGCGUAAAGCGCAUGCAGGUGGUUUGUUUAAGUCAGAUGUGAAAGACCCGGGGCGUCAACCUCGGAAUAGCAUUUGAAACUGGCAGACUAGAGUACUGUAGAGGGGGGUAGGAAUUUCAGGUGUAGCGGUGAAAUGCGUAGAGAUCUGAAGGAAUACCGGUGGCGAAGGCGGCCCCCUGGACAGAUACUGACACUCAGAUGCGAAAGCGUGGGGAGCAAACAGGAUUAGAUACCCCUGGUAG
RNAcentral lists this ribosomal RNA (387 nucleotides) under uncultured bacterium. RNAcentral's name for it is "bacterial SSU rRNA". It matches the Rfam family "Bacterial small subunit ribosomal RNA", at positions 419 to 793 of the family's 1533-position model. The record is from RNAcentral.